CAAGUAUUUAGAAGUAUUUUAUCCAGGUCUGUCUGGUGAUAGCUGGAGCUAUAUAGAGGAUGGUUGGCCAGUAGGGUACGUUCUAUGCUAGAUGGUAGUAGAGGUGGUUAGUUGGCCAGUAGGAACGUUCUAUGCUAGAUGGGAGUAGAGGUGGUUAGUUGGCCAGUAGGUACGUUCUAUGUUAGAUGGGAGUAGAGGUGGUUAGUUGGCCAGUAGGAACGUUCUAUGUUAGAUGGGAGUAGAGGUGGUUAGUUGGCCAGUAGGAACGUUCUAUGGUAGAUGGGAGUAGAGGUGGUUAGUUGGCCAGUAGGAACGUUCUAUGUUAGAUGAGAGUAGAGGUGGUUAGGUGGCCAGUAGGAACGUUCUAUGGUAGAUGGGAGUAGAGGUGGUUAGUUGGCCAGUAGGUACGUUCUAUGUUAGAUGGGAGUAGAGGUGGUUAGUUGGCCAGUAGGAACGUUCUAUGUUAGAUGGGAGUAGAGGUGGUUAGUUGGCCAGUAGGAACGUUCUAUGGUAGAUGGGAGUAGAGGUGGUUAGUAGGAACGUUCUAUGGUAGAUGGGUGUAGAGGUGGUUAGUAGGAACGUUCUAUGGUAGAUGGGAGUAGAGGUGGUUAGUUGGCCAGUAGGAACGUUCUAUGGUAGAUGGGAGUAGAGGUGGUUAGUUGGCCAGUAGGAACGUUCUAUGGUAGAUGGGAGUAGAGGUGGUUAGUUGGCCAGUAGGAACGUUCUAUGGUAGAUGGGAGUAGAGGUGGUUAGUUGGCCAGUAGGUACGUUCUAUGUUAGAUGGGAGUAGAGGUGGUUAGUUGGCCAGUAGGUACGUUCUAUGGUAGAUGGGAGUAGAGGUGGUUAGUUGGCCAGUAGGAACGUUCUAUGGUAGAUGGGAGUAGAGGUGGUUAGUUGGCCAGUAGGAACGUUCUAUGGUAGAUGGGAGUAGAGGUGGUUAGUUGGCCAGUAGGAACGUUCUAUGGUAGAUGGGAGUAGAGGUGGUUAGUUGGCCAGUAGGAACGUUCUAUGGUAGAUGGGAGUAGAGGUGGUUAGUUGGCCAGUAGGAACGUUCUAUGGUAGAUGGGAGUAGAGGUGGUUAGUUGGCCAGUAGGGUACGUUCUAUGUUAGAUGGGAGUAGAGGUGGUUAGUUGGCCAGUAGGAACGUUCUAUGGUAGAUGGGAGUAGAGGUGGUUAGUUGGCCAGUAGGAACGUUCUAUGGUAGAUGGGAGUAGAGGUGGUUAGUUGGCCAGUAGGAACGUUCUAUGGUAGAUGGGAGUAGAGGUGGUUAGUUGGCCAGUAGGAACGUUCUAUGGUAGAUGGGAGUAGAGGUGGUUAGUUGGCCAGUAGGAACGUUCUAUGGUAGAUGGGAGUAGAGGUGGUUAGUUGGCCAGUAGGAACGUUCUAUGGUAGAUGGGAGUAGAGGUGGUUAGUUGGCCAGUAGGAACGUUCUAUGGUAGAUGGGAGUAGAGGUGGUUAGUUGGCCAGUAGGAACGUUCUAUGGUAGAUGGGAGUAGAGGUGGUUAGUAGGAACGUUCUAUGGUAGAUGGGAGUAGAGGUGGUUAGUAGGAACGUUCUAUGGUAGAUGGGAGUAGAGGUGGUUAGUUGGCCAGUAGGAACGUUCUAUGUUAGAUGAGAGUAGAGGUGGUUAGUUGGCCAGUAGGAACGUUCUAUGUUAGAUGGGAGUAGAGGUGGUUAGUUGGCCAGUAGGAACGUU
Oncorhynchus keta (chum salmon) is the source of this 1696-nucleotide long non-coding RNA. RefSeq lists it as uncharacterized. The transcript has 8 exons. The record is from RefSeq and is a predicted model, not a curated record. Lineage: Eukaryota; Metazoa; Chordata; Actinopteri; Salmoniformes; Salmonidae.